This 407-nucleotide ribosomal RNA is filed under the name uncultured bacterium. Its description in RNAcentral is "bacterial SSU rRNA". It matches the Rfam family "Bacterial small subunit ribosomal RNA", at positions 355 to 776 of the family's 1533-position model. The record is from RNAcentral.
UUAGGAAUCUUGCGCAAUGGGCGAAAGCCUGACGCAGCGACGCCGCGUGUGUGAUGACGGCCUUCGGGUUGUAAAGCACUUUUCUGAGGGAAGAAGAAUGUGACGGUACCUCAGGAAUAAGCCCCGGCUAACUACGUGCCAGCAGCCGCGGUAAUACGUAGGGGGCGAGCGUUGUCCGGAUUUACUGGGCGUAAAGCGCGCGUAGGCGGCUCGUUAAGUCGAGUGUGAAAGGUUGGGGCUCAACCCCAACACUGCGCUCGAUACUGGCGGGCUUGAGGUAUGGAGAGGGAAGUGGAAUUCCUGGUGUAGCGGUGAAAUGCGUAGAUAUCAGGAGGAACACCCGUGGCGAAGGCGGCUUCCUGGCCAUAUCCUGACGCUGAGGUGCGAAAGCCAGGGGAGCGAACGGG